GGGUUGUGAGGUUAAGUGACUAAGCGUACACGGUGGAUGCCCUGGCAGUCAGAGGCGAUGAAGGACGUGCUAAUCUGCGAUAAGCGUCGGUAAGGUGAUAUGAACCGUUAUAACCGGCGAUUUCCGAAUGGGGAAACCCAGUGUGAUUCGUCACACUAUCAUUAACUGAAUCCAUAGGUUAAUGAGGCGAACCGGGGGAACUGAAACAUCUAAGUACCCCGAGGAAAAGAAAUCAACCGAGAUUCCCCCAGUAGCGGCGAGCGAACGGGGAGGAGCCCAGAGCCUGAAUCAGUGUGUGUGUUAGUGGAAGCGUCUGGAAAGGCGCGCGAUACAGGGUGACAGCCCCGUACACAAAAAUGCACAUGCUGUGAGCUCGAUGAGUAGGGCGGGACACGUGGUAUCCUGUCUGAAUAUGGGGGGACCAUCCUCCAAGGCUAAAUACUCCUGACUGACCGAUAGUGAACCAGUACCGUGAGGGAAAGGCGAAAAGAACCCCGGCGAGGGGAGUGAAAAAGAACCUGAAACCGUGUACGUACAAGCAGUGGGAGCACAGAGCAAUCUGUGUGACUGCGUACCUUUUGUAUAAUGGGUCAGCGACUUAUAUUCUGUAGCAAGGUUAACCGAAUAGGGGAGCCGAAGGGAAACCGAGUCUUAACUGGGCGUUAAGUUGCAGGGUAUAGACCCGAAACCCGGUGAUCUAGCCAUGGGCAGGUUGAAGGUUGGGUAACACUAACUGGAGGACCGAACCGACUAAUGUUGAAAAAUUAGCGGAUGACUUGUGGCUGGGGGUGAAAGGCCAAUCAAACCGGGAGAUAGCUGGUUCUCCCCGAAAGCUAUUUAGGUAGCGCCUCGUGAAUUCAUCUCCGGGGGUAGAGCACUGUUUCGGCAAGGGGGUCAUCCCGACUUACCAACCCGAUGCAAACUGCGAAUACCGGAGAAUGUUAUCACGGGAGACACACGGCGGGUGCUAACGUCCGUCGUGAAGAGGGAAACAACCCAGACCGCCAGCUAAGGUCCCAAAGUCAUGGUUAAGUGGGAAACGAUGUGGGAAGGCCCAGACAGCCAGGAUGUUGGCUUAGAAGCAGCCAUCAUUUAAAGAAAGCGUAAUAGCUCACUGGUCGAGUCGGCCUGCGCGGAAGAUGUAACGGGGCUAAACCAUGCACCGAAGCUGCGGCAGCGACACUAUGUGUUGUUGGGUAGGGGAGCGUUCUGUAAGCCUGUGAAGGUGUGCUGUGAGGCAUGCUGGAGGUAUCAGAAGUGCGAAUGCUGACAUAAGUAACGAUAAAGCGGGUGAAAAGCCCGCUCGCCGGAAGACCAAGGGUUCCUGUCCAACGUUAAUCGGGGCAGGGUGAGUCGACCCCUAAGGCGAGGCCGAAAGGCGUAGUCGAUGGGAAACAGGUUAAUAUUCCUGUACUUGGUGUUACUGCGAAGGGGGGACGGAGAAGGCUAUGUUGGCCGGGCGACGGUUGUCCCGGUUUAAGCGUGUAGGCUGGUUUUCCAGGCAAAUCCGGAAAAUCAAGGCUGAGGCGUGAUGACGAGGCACUACGGUGCUGAAGCAACAAAUGCCCUGCUUCCAGGAAAAGCCUCUAAGCAUCAGGUAACAUCAAAUCGUACCCCAAACCGACACAGGUGGUCAGGUAGAGAAUACCAAGGCGCUUGAGAGAACUCGGGUGAAGGAACUAGGCAAAAUGGUGCCGUAACUUCGGGAGAAGGCACGCUGAUAUGUAGGUGAAGCGACUUGCUCGUGGAGCUGAAAUCAGUCGAAGAUACCAGCUGGCUGCAACUGUUUAUUAAAAACACAGCACUGUGCAAACACGAAAGUGGACGUAUACGGUGUGACGCCUGCCCGGUGC
This 1853-nucleotide ribosomal RNA is filed under the name Escherichia coli. Its description in RNAcentral is "partial 23S ribosomal RNA". It matches the Rfam family "Bacterial large subunit ribosomal RNA", at positions 1 to 1869 of the family's 2925-position model. The record is from RNAcentral. Lineage: Bacteria; Pseudomonadati; Pseudomonadota; Gammaproteobacteria; Enterobacterales; Enterobacteriaceae.